This 492-nucleotide ribosomal RNA is filed under the name uncultured bacterium. RNAcentral describes it as "partial 16S ribosomal RNA". It matches the Rfam family "Bacterial small subunit ribosomal RNA", at positions 29 to 507 of the family's 1533-position model. The record is from RNAcentral.
AUUGAACGCUGGCGGCAUGCUUUACACAUGCAAGUCGAACGGUAACAGGCCUUCGGGUGCUGACGAGUGGCGCACGGGUGAGUAAUGCAUCGGAACGUACCCAGAGGUGGGGGAUAACGCAGCGAAAGCUGUGCUAAUACCGCAUGUGAUCUGAGGAUGAAAGCGGGGGACCGAGCAGCAAUGUUUGGCCUCGCGCCUUUGGAGCGGCCGAUGUCGGAUUAGCUAGUUGGUGGGGUAAAGGCCUACCAAGGCGACGAUCCGUAGCUGGUCUGAGAGGACGACCAGCCACACUGGGACUGAGACACGGCCCAGACUCCUACGGGGGGCAGCAGUGGGGAAUUUUGGACAAUGGGCGCAAGCCUGAUCCAGCAAUGCCGCGUGCGGGAAGAAGGCCUUCGGGUUGUAAACCGCUUUUGGCAGGAACGAAACGGUGUCCGCUAAUACCGGGCGCUAAUGACGGUACCUGCAGAAUAAGCACCGGCUAACUACGUG